This 1040-nucleotide ribosomal RNA is filed under the name uncultured bacterium. RNAcentral describes it as "bacterial SSU rRNA". It matches the Rfam family "Bacterial small subunit ribosomal RNA", at positions 8 to 1043 of the family's 1533-position model. The record is from RNAcentral.
AGAGUUUGAUCAUGGCUCAGAUUGAACGCUGGCGGCAGGCUUAACACAUGCAAGUCGAGCGGGGAAGAGUAGCUUGCUACUUGACCUAGCGGCGGACGGGUGAGUAAUGCUUAGGAAUCUGCCUAUUAGUGGGGGACAACAUCUCGAAAGGGAUGCUAAUACCGCAUACGUCCUACGGGAGAAAGCAGGGGACCUUCGGGCCUUGCGCUAAUAGAUGAGCCUAAGUCGGAUUAGCUAGUUGGUGGGGUAAAGGCCUACCAAGGCGACGAUCUGUAGCGGGUCUGAGAGGAUGAUCCGCCACACUGGGACUGAGACACGGCCCAGACUCCUACGGGAGGCAGCAGUGGGGAAUAUUGGACAAUGGGGGCAACCCUGAUCCAGCCAUGCCGCGUGUGUGAAGAAGGCCUUUUGGUUGUAAAGCACUUUAAGCAGUGAAGAAGACUCUAUGGUUAAUACCCAUAGACGAUGACAUUAGCUGCAGAAUAAGCACCGGCUAACUCUGUGCCAGCAGCCGCGGUAAUACAGAGGGUGCAAGCGUUAAUCGGAAUUACUGGGCGUAAAGCGAGCGUAGGUGGCCUAAUAAGUCAGAUGUGAAAUCCCCGGGCUUAACCUGGGAACUGCAUCUGAUACUGUUGGGCUAGAGUAGGUGAGAGGGAGGUAGAAUUUCAGGUGUAGCGGUGAAAUGCGUAGAGAUCUGAAGGAAUACCGAUGGCGAAGGCAGCCUCCUGGCAUCAUACUGACACUGAGGUUCGAAAGCGUGGGUAGCAAACAGGAUUAGAUACCCUGGUAGUCCACGCCGUAAACGAUGUCUACUAGUCGUUGGGGAACUUGAUUCCUUAGUGACGCAGCUAACGCAAUAAGUAGACCGCCUGGGGAGUACGGCCGCAAGGUUAAAACUCAAAUGAAUUGACGGGGGCCCGCACAAGCGGUGGAGCAUGUGGUUUAAUUCGAUGCAACGCGAAGAACCUUACCUGGUCUUGACAUAGUAAGAACUUUCCAGAGAUGGAUUGGUGCCUUCGGGAACUUACAUACAGGUGCUG